Molecule: long non-coding RNA, 866 nt
Organism: Malus domestica (apple)
Lineage: Eukaryota; Viridiplantae; Streptophyta; Magnoliopsida; Rosales; Rosaceae
Source: RefSeq, a predicted model, not a curated record
CUAACCAAUAAUUUUGUUAUUUUAUUUUAACCCCCCUUCCUCUCCCUACACCUCUCGUUCUCUCAGCUCAUUCUUGUUACUCUCUCCAUCUAUUUACAUUUCUCUCACUUCUCUCCUUCCCUCAAAACUCUCAUAUUUCCUCUGCACGCACAGAGAGCUCCAAAAGCCCCAUAAACAUGGAGCUGCUGCUCCAUUUGGUUAGCAAGCAUUCAGGAUCAUCCGAUAAAAUUAGGGGUUUGGUGUGUAGAGAUUGUUAGUUGGGUUGUCAUGUCAAAUCUCGGAUUAUCAAUUAAAAUCAUGGAUUUACCCUUCUGUACGCGUGUUCGCCAUCCUAGAAAGGAAGGGGACGGGUGACACUCUUUUUCUGCUUCUCUAGGGUGGAUCUCUAGAAUUCUCCAUUGGUUUAAAGAACUUUGUGGAUCUUUUGACUCAAGAAUUGAAGCUUUGGAAAAUCAGGAACAAGCUCAUAUGGCUCUGCUGGAGGCUAAGAAGAUUGCAUCCCAGUAUCAAAAGGAAGCAGACAAGUGCAGUUCAGGGAUGGAAACAUGUGAAGAAGCAAGGGAGAAAGGAAGGGAUGAAAAUAUUGUCGUCGGUGCUUCCUACCUUUUCCGAUAAGUUAUUUGACAAGAUAUGGGCUAGACGAGCUGAGAUAGGGUUAGACUAGGGAUUUAUGGGUUUUACGUUCUGAAAGGAUUUUGUAAUAAUUACUUGUUAAGAGAAGUUUUUAUUUUUCGUUUUUACUUUUUGGCUUCCUCAUCCUUCGGGUGAUGGUCAUCAAAUCGCAAUUUGAGUGUUCAGGUGAACAUUUUGGAUCGAAGGGUGAUAUCUAAUACUAUUUACUUUUAACGAAAAAUCAUAUUUUUAUC